This 4227-nucleotide long non-coding RNA is filed under the name Triticum aestivum (bread wheat). RNAcentral describes it as "long non-coding RNA (TAES_LNC014700)". The record is from RNAcentral. Lineage: Eukaryota; Viridiplantae; Streptophyta; Magnoliopsida; Poales; Poaceae.
UAGUAAGAAAAUGUGGCAUAUGAACAAGAAAACAAUCUUUCCACCACAUGUUCAUUCACAAACUAAUAAUUCUCUAUUUAUCUUUGGGCUCUGCUUCCAUUUCCAUCUAAGAUGCAUCUCCAUCACUUUAUCUCACUAAUACAUAUUUUCCUACGGACCUCAAAUAUACAUACAAGAAUCACACGACAAGGUUGCAUCAUUGUCAUUCCAUCUCUUCUUUCACUUCGGCUCUUUUGGUCAUUGCAACACCAGCGUGCGCCGUCUUCACACUGCUCCAAAUCUGCCCAUGUUUCCAUCCGGCUCCAAAUACGCCCAUUUUUUUCUCUAAGUCAGUCAUGUCGUAACAAAUUUGUACUUUCAGCCUCAAAAUUUCAUUGUUUGGAAUGAGGAGGGAUUUCAGAGUUCACUUCUCUAAAAGAGAAUGCAACACAUAUUGAUACAGAUUAGUGAUGAACAAAAAAUUGCUUCCAUAGAUGUAAAUUACUUCUGUAUGAAAAUAUAUUUUGUUUCAAAUGUUGAUACUCCUUCCUUUUGGAACUUUAGUUUCCUUCAUAUGGUUUUUUCACUUCCUUUUUUUGGAUGGUAACUGUUUCGGGUCAAAUUACUUCUAUGGCAACUAAAUAUUGUUUCCAUAUGGUUAAAUUUUGUUUGUUUGGACUGACCAUAGAAAAUGAUUCCUUGAAUUGGCAAUCGCUUCAAUGUAGUACUCCCUCCGUCCCGCAAUAAGUGACUCAAAAAUGACUCAACUUUGUACUCCUUCCUUCAAUUGGAGUAUAUGUUUUCUUUUCUCAUAGGAAAGGAGAGUGCUUUAAUUUUUUACAGAACAAAAUUGAGAUUGAUUUAUUCUUUAGUUAAAAUUGGUGCCACGAAUAUGUUUCAUGGAAUCUGAGAAUUGUUCCAAACGUAUCGAUAAAGUACUUCCAAUAUAGUAAAAAUUGGCAGUCUGAGGAUUUUGCAUUGAACCUCUUUUAAAAUGGUGAUGAAAGACCACACAUGUUGAAGAUAAGUUUGGCCUUAAUCUAAUCGAGAAACAACUGUUUUUCAUACCAGACAAGCAACUACUCCUCUCUGACUCAAUGUGCCACACCAUUCACUCACCGCUGUAAUCCAUACACAUGUUCAGUACCUUUUGAAUUUUAUGCUCCCGCUUCUCCAUGUGUCAACCCCUUUGUUCCUUGUUGACCCUAGCUUGUCUUGAUGCAACAUCAAGCAACAACAAAAUAUUACACCUGAUACGACAUCAAGCUAUACAGGAACUAUUAGACCACCCAAAUUAUUGAAGCUUCAGAAUUUGUGUCUGGGUCCAUGCCUAAUAAACUGGAAGAAAACCAAAAGAUACUUAUUGAUAUGAAUCAACUUGGUUAAGUAUGGUCAAAUACAAUGCACGGUGGAAUAUCUGCCCUAGAAAACAAAAGAAAAGGAGAUGGAAGAAAUCAUGCACUCAAUGGGUGGCUGUAAGUUCACGGGUAUCAAGACUUGGCUCACAUAUCAUUGAUCAUGGGUCUGUGUCAAUAUGGCUCUGGUGCCCAGUUUAUCACGGUGUUUUGUUAUUAUUUCCGAGAUAGUACUUUCUAUUAUAGUGUUGAGAUAAGCAAUUUAGAUGUUUUAAAUAUUCCCAGCUCUUUGGAUAAGAAGUAUUUCAGUAACUGAAUAAUCUUUGACCGUCCAAAAGAACUAUGAUGUUUCUUUGGGAAUAACAACAGAACAAAAAAUCCGAGAAUCAUGGCUGACCUAUGAGGCGCAGAUGUUGUCGAGGACCUAUAACCAUGCCUCCUAUCCUUUGCGCAACCUUGAAACCACGAGUAAUUACCUGGCAUUAUUUCAUUAUCUCAGCUGGUUUUAUGACUUCGAACAUAUGAGAGUAGUCUAACAUGUAAAAUAAUUCUUUCUCAGGUUCCAAAUAAGUCAACAGUAGGUCAAAAGUAGAGGUGAAACAUUGCCAGGCAGACAGACACACAACAAUAGCCGAUGAUUAUAGCUUAAGGUCCAAUGAGGAUAAUAUAAGUAGUGGAAAACGGAAUUUUGUAUCCACAUCCCUAUUGAUCAAGGAGUAAGUCAACAUGAUACAAGGAACGUACAACAACACCCGAGACAAUAUAAUUACAACACUGCAGAAAAAUUAGAGAUCCAUGUAAUCAAAUAUCUCUUUGUUAAAUUUUAGCUGAACAACUUAACUUAUAGAGUGUCGAUGGUUCAGAUCUUUUUCCUUUUAAUUAACAUGUGAGUUAUUAUAAAGUGGGUAAUUUCUUUUUGCGGUAUAUAAAGUGGGUAAUUCAUAUAGACUAAGACAUGGAAAAAGGGUGUAGGUGGUGCAAAUUCAUAGCAAGUUUUAUAUUGGAUGCACACAAACAACUGUGUGGACACACAAAAAGAAAACAAUCACUUUGAAAGUUUGAAUAGAAAUGUCUAAAUGAACAUCAGAUGGUCUAGUGUCUCCACUGAGAGCACUACAUGGACCCCUCAUUAACAAUUUAGCAAUGAAUAAACAAUUCUAGUAUUUAGACAUGAGAAUACCUUGUACAGAAUUUCAAAGCCAUAAAAAACGUUACCACUGGUUUGGGUAUCCUGGAAAUAAAACAGAGGUAAUAAAUUCCUUAUAACUAAUCAGGUGCACAUAGAAAAUUGAUUACCUCUGGUUUGAUCCCAUGUGCUCUAGCCAAAAAUAGAUCAAAUCGGCAGGAUAUCCUAUAAGGAAACAAAUCUAGCAAGGAAACUGAUUAUUAUUAUAUCUAAUUUCCAGCUACCAGUGGUAGGCGCAAAGUGGAACACUAUUACGCAGGACAACAAAUUUGGGCAGGAGGAAGUAUAAUGGUUAUGAAUGCCAGGCAAAGUGUUUUAAGUUCAUAACUAUGAGCAUGCAAAUAAUUUAUAUGAAGGGUCCCUUUUCUUCUGCAUAAGUCAGACAUACUUUAUGUAUGUGUAAUGUGUCAACCUGUACACAAAUACAAAAUAUAUAUUACAACGGAAAAUGCGUGAAUAUGAUGAUGAAUAUCUUAUUCUGAACUCUUUUGCAUCUUUUAUAAUGGACAGGGAUUGAGAUUCUAAUUUCGACACUACUGGAGAGUAUGUUGUGUGCAAAACGAAACUACAUGCAUUAAUCUACAUGAUUGUUCGUACCAACAGAGAAACAAUUUUGCAUCUAGUAGAUGUGUGUAUGUUUCAGGGUUACUUUCACAAUAUUUAGUUGCUAUAGAAAAAACACUUAAGGCUAGCAAAUAGAAUUAACCUAGUACAUAGAAAGUAGAGAACUGAUCGUUGCAGUAAAUUAUGAACUGAUAUCACACAUAAAACAGUAACAUACCCCAAAAUCUAUUCCUCGCAGCUCUCCACAAGUCUUCCUUCGCCCUCUUCUGCUCCACCAACCCCUGUUAUGAUUUCUCUCCCCUUAAAUCACUCUUCUUACUCCGCAUACCAUCUCUGUCUCCCUAGCCCAAACAUGCUAGUACCGUCAGUAGCGCGUCCGGCACCCCACGAAAGAAAACACAAUACAACCCACACAUGAAUAAUGAUGUAAACAUACGUGAAAUUAUGAACGCUCCAAGAAAAUCAUUCUGUAAAUAACUUGAAUGGUGUGUUGAUAUGCAGAAACAUCUACUUCUUUACAAGACAUUUACUUGUUUGGAUUGCAAAACAAAUAUUGUUGUAGGAAAUGAUCUAUUGGAAACUGGUACAAAACUUCAAACAUCUUUACUGCUGGACAUAGAACAAGCACACAACAUCCUGUAAUUAUUUAGUUGCAGACGUACAUGCAUGACAGCCAACAUAUAUAAAGUCUUGUGAUGAAUUGUGUUCAAUGGUGAAGAAACUUGCAACAAAGUGUUUCCUAUUAAAUGACCUCCCAAACCCAAUGUUGGUUGGUCCACUCUACUAAGCUGUGCUAUGUCAAUAAUCAAAAGAAAUAUAUGCUUGUUUUACCACUGGCAAUCAUGAAAAGCCGACUGACUUUCGAAUAUAACUUUAUCUGAAGAUUAUGUUAUUUGCCCCGUCGACUUUGUUGCCUAGCUGGACAACCAGUACUGCAGUUGCCUAGAUCCUACCCUCCUACGGACACUUAUGUUCUAAUCUGGAGAUGAGGUGAGUACAAGGGUCACCCAUGGAUAUAUUGUCUAGACGAUGAGGUAGCACAUGAGAUGAAGCAAUGUGUGUACCUGGACGCCGCACUGGUUGAAGCACUUGAUGGCGACUGAUAAGCGCCCCCUGUUGCCGAUAAAAUCAAUUGUUCUUGAC